GUGCUUAACACAUGCAAGUCGAACGGAAAGGCCCCUUUGGGGGUGCUCGAGUGGCGAACGGGUGAGUAACACGUGGGUGAUCUGCCCUGCACUUUGGGAUAAGCCUGGGAAACUGGGUCUAAUACCGAAUACACCUUGCUGGUCGCAUGGCCUGGUGGGGGAAAGCUUUUGCGGUGUGGGAUGGGCCCGCGGCCUAUCAGCUUGUUGGUGAGGUUAUGGCUUACCAAGGCGACGACGGGUAGCCGGCCUGAGAGGGUGACCGGCCACACUGGGACUGAGAUACGGCCCAGACUCCUACGGGAGGCAGCAGUGGGGAAUAUUGCACAAUGGGCGCAAGCCUGAUGCAGCGACGCCGCGUGGGGGAUGACGGCCUUCGGGUUGUAAACCUCUUUCAGUGCCGACGAAGCGUAAGUGACGGUAGGCACAGAAGAAGGACCGGCCAACUACGUGCCAGCAGCCGCGGUAAUACGUAGGGUCCGAGCGUUGUCCGGAAUUACUGGGCGUAAAGAGCUCGUAGGUGGUUUGUCGCGUUGUUCGUGAAAUC
This 544-nucleotide ribosomal RNA is filed under the name Mycolicibacterium flavescens. RNAcentral describes it as "bacterial SSU rRNA". It matches the Rfam family "Bacterial small subunit ribosomal RNA", at positions 44 to 601 of the family's 1533-position model. Lineage: Bacteria; Bacillati; Actinomycetota; Actinomycetes; Mycobacteriales; Mycobacteriaceae. The record is from RNAcentral.